RNAcentral lists this ribosomal RNA (1128 nucleotides) under Trichomonas sp. 7895-C1. RNAcentral describes it as "SSU rRNA". It matches the Rfam family "Eukaryotic small subunit ribosomal RNA", at positions 452 to 1759 of the family's 1831-position model. The record is from RNAcentral. Lineage: Eukaryota; Parabasalia; Trichomonadida; Trichomonadidae.
UGACUUUCGGAGGAGGUAAUGACCAGUUCCAUUGAUGCCUUUUGGUAUUGUGGAUAGGGGUACAGUUUUCCACUGUACCGAAACCUAGCAGAGGGCCAGUCUGGUGCCAGCAGCUGCGGUAAUUCCAGCUCUGCGAGUUUGCUCCCAUAUUGUUGCAGUUAAAACGCCCGUAGUCUGAAUUGGCCAGCAAUGGUCGUAUGUAUUUAUACGUUCACUGUGAACAAAUCAGGACGCUUAGAGUAUGGCUACAUGAAUGACUCAGCGCAGUAUGAAGUCUUUGUUUUCUUCCGAAAACAAGCUCAACGAGAGCCAUCGGGGGUAGAUCUAUCUCAUGACGAGUGGUGGAAUACUUUGACUCAUGAGAGAGAAUCUGAGGCGAAGGCGUCUACCUAGAGGGUUUCUGUCGAUCAAGGGCGAGAGUAGGAGUAUCCAACAGGAUUAGAGACCCUGGUAGUUCCUACCUUAAACGAUGCCGACAGGAGUUUGUCACUUGUUAGUGGCAGAAUCUUUGGAGAAAUCAUAGUUCUUGGGCUCUGGGGGAACUACGACCGCAAGGCUGAAACUUGAAGGAAUUGACGGAAGGGCACACCAGGGGUGGAGCCUGUGGCUUAAUUUGAAUCAACACGGGGAAACUUACCAGGACCAGAUGUUUUUUAUGACUGACAGGCUUUGGGUCUUUCAGGAUAUUGCUUUUGGUGGUGCAUGGCCGUUGGUGGUGCGUGGGUUGACCUGUCUAGCGUUGAUUCAGCUAACGAGCGAGAUUAUCGCCAAUUAUUUACUUCGUCUAAGUCUUUAGAUUGAAGUUCUAAUUGGGACUCCCUGCGAUUUUAGCAGGUGGAAGAGGGUAGCAAUAACAGGUCCGUGAUGCCCUUUAGAUGCUCUGGGCUGCACGCGUGCUACAAUGUUAGGAUCAAUAGGACUGCAAAGCCGAGAGGCUGCGCUACUCUUAUAAUCCCUAACGUAGUUGGGAUUGACGUUUGUAAUCAGCGUCAUGAACCAGGAAUCCCUUGUAAAUGUGUGUCAACAACGCACGUUGAAUACGUCCCUGCCCUUUGUACACACCGCCCGUCGCUCCUACCGAUUGGAUGACUCGGUGAAAUCACCGGAUGCUUACGAGCAGAAAGUGAU